GGCAUAAUGGAUUUGUGUUGUGCUACUGCUGGCCCUUUAAGAACCAUCUGGGGACAUACUGUGGAGUUACUGGGUGGCCACCAUUUCAUGUAUCAGAGGCAAAUGGUGAGAACAAUGGAUGAAGCACAUGGUGAGAACAAUGGAUGGCAGCCAUUUUAACUCACAGACACUGUGUGGACUUUUCUACACGGUGCCAUCUUGCCGGUAUUUGGUGCACAGAGACAUCGUGCAGUAGUUUUAAACUAUACAACAG
Pelobates cultripes (western spadefoot toad) is the source of this 253-nucleotide non-coding RNA. NCBI's taxonomy places the organism in Eukaryota, Metazoa, Chordata, Amphibia, Anura, Pelobatidae. The record is from the annotation of a GenBank genome assembly.